RNAcentral lists this transfer RNA (76 nucleotides) under Pectobacterium carotovorum subsp. carotovorum. RNAcentral's name for it is "tRNA-Asn". It matches the Rfam family "tRNA". From Rfam's summary of the family: Transfer RNA (tRNA) molecules are approximately 80 nucleotides in length. Lineage: Bacteria; Pseudomonadati; Pseudomonadota; Gammaproteobacteria; Enterobacterales; Pectobacteriaceae. RNAcentral also lists the same sequence under 14 other names. The record is from RNAcentral.
UCCUCUGUAGUUCAGUCGGUAGAACGGCGGACUGUUAAUCCGUAUGUCACUGGUUCAAGUCCAGUCAGGGGAGCCA